GAGCUUAAGAGACAAGCUGCAGGCCAAUGAAAGAUCACAUCUCCUGAGAAACACAUGAAGUUGACAUCUGACCCCCCCCCCCACACACACACAUGCAGACAUUUUCAUACUUAUGGAAAAUUUGCAAAGAUUUUAUUGUGAAGUAAUGCAACAUUCAUGACAUAAAUAAUUUUUAAGUGACAGUUGAUUUAUCUUCCACUGUCAUGCUAAGACUUUAGAGUUCUGUCCAAUAUACAAGCUCAUGCUAAAGUCUCAGUGGAUUUAGUAAGACUUAUAUGACUAUAUAGAAAGUGCAUUCAUUCUCAUAACCUGUGUUUUCCCCCCCAGAAUGGACUCACAAUUGCUGAUGUAUAGGUUCUAAUGUUUUCUAUUGUGGACACGGGACACCCAGACUGAGAACCAAUGGCUCCAGUCUGAUUUAAACAUGGGUCCGUGCUCACACACUCAAUACCUACCCUCUGUGCUCACAAGUCCUGUGUGAGUAAGACUCCAAAUUAUUCUGUCUUGUUUUACUCAAUGGUAUGCUCUACCUUAUUAUAGAGUAUACCAUGUAUUGAGACAAGAAUGCCAGUCAUUCUGAGAAACAAAAUGCAACCAUUAGUUGUCAUUUUAAUUAGUGACGAAUAGUUGUGUCAAUCAUCAAACAUGCUUGUAUAAUUGGAUGAGAAGAGGUGUAACACGGGCCAAUGAUGACGAGGUUUCGGGAUUAUAAGUCACGGACGAUGACUACGUCACUAGAGGUCUGAGGUCCAUAGCAGAAGAUGCCUCAUGUGACCCUCUCAUGCAGGGGUUGCAUGUCAGGCAUGUGCAUACAGUAGAUAUUAGCCAUGCACUCUCACCAUUUCAUAGUAGAUCACAGAAUCAAGAUACAAAUCUCCAUGCACGGAAAGGAUUUAAGGCAUUGAUCAAUCCUGAACAUAAAUAUUUGGCCAUCAAUGAUAUUUACGCACACACUGAAAAAUCUAUUCAGAAUGACUUACACAAAGGUUUAUAUAACCUUUAUCAAAGGUAAUUUAUAUAGUAAGAUUCAUGGCUGAAGUCUUCAUGAUGGUCAAGGCCUUAAUUUUUAAAAUUAUCAAUUUUUUUCUUUUCUUUUUUUUUAACUUGAAUUUUUUUUUAAUGAAAACUAUCAUGACAAUUUGUCUCUUAAAUGAAAGGAGAAAUGUAAAACUAAAUGGACAAAUAUCAACCUUUUUAUUAUCUUUGCUGUUGUGCCCUCCCUGGAUGGGUGCUGGCACAUGAUGUCUUGCCUGCUGGUCCGUGGUUGCACUCUCACCAUGUGGAUGGAGCUCGGCAGCUGAAAAUGCAUUCUUCCACCAAGAUGAUUUACACAGCCUAGCUGGAUCAGGAGCCCCCUAAUAAGCUGCUUCAGAUUGUAAUAUAGACACAGUAAUGUAUGCCUGCAGGAUGAGUCCCACCUUCUUCAUUAGUCUUGAGGUUUGAGAUUCCCUGUUUGUGUCUGCAGGAUUCAGAUAGUAAUGGAUAUCCUGCAAGUCGGCUUCGUAGAGUCUCCCUUGAAAGUGGACCUCAUGAUCUAGCCUUUAUGUCCGUGGAUUGACACUGUGAUGGAUUCCCCCCAAGUUCAUUUAGAUAUUCUCUCUUAUUCAUAAAUGUCACGGUCAGCUCUGUUCUUAUAGAUACCAGAAUGGAUACCCCAAGCUGAUGUAUAUACACCCUUCCUCGGUUGUGAGAUUCCUGCUCUGGUGGUUGUAGUCAUAAGAUAUACAUCGUUGCGUACACCUUGGUUGUGGGCACGCACACUACUGUUGAAUUACCACCUUGUCCAAGUGGAUGGAUGCCCUCAAUGGGAUUGGCACUUUCUCCAUUGCUCC
This 1832-nucleotide long non-coding RNA is filed under the name Mus musculus (house mouse). RNAcentral's name for it is "RNA imprinted and accumulated in nucleus". The stretch from base 680 to 753 matches the Rfam family "Small nucleolar RNA SNORD113/SNORD114 family". The record is from RNAcentral. Lineage: Eukaryota; Metazoa; Chordata; Mammalia; Rodentia; Muridae.